GCUUUAUUAGUUUAAAAAAAAUAUUACAUUGAAGCUGUAAAGAUUUAUUUAAGCA
RNAcentral lists this transfer RNA (55 nucleotides) under Aphelenchus avenae. Its description in RNAcentral is "tRNA-Phe". Lineage: Eukaryota; Metazoa; Nematoda; Chromadorea; Rhabditida; Aphelenchidae. The record is from RNAcentral.